RNAcentral lists this transfer RNA (750 nucleotides) under uncultured cyanobacterium. RNAcentral's name for it is "partial 16S-23S intergenic spacer". The stretch from base 256 to 328 matches the Rfam family "tRNA". Lineage: Bacteria; Bacillati; Cyanobacteriota. The record is from RNAcentral.
AGACAUAACUGAACUUGAUGUCUAGCUAUAUAUGCUUAGGCCAAGUUCCUGUCACAUUAGGUCGAUCGGUACCUCAAGUUAAAAGCUAAAUAAGAAUUGAAAAUUCAAUUUGAGAUUGGUAAUUAACAUCAGUUCCUAAACUGUCUAGGUCACACCCAGCAAGGGUAAUCCUGGGCCAUUAGCUCAGGUGGUUAGAGCGCACCCCUGAUAAGGGUGAGGUCCCUGGUUCAAGUCCAGGAUGGCCCAUUCGGUGUUGGGGGUAUAGCUCAGUUGGUAGAGCGCCUGCUUUGCAAGCAGGAUAUCAGCGGUUCGAGUCCGCUUACCUCCACUGAUCUACCUUCUGAUAACGAACUCGAGGGAGAUUAGCUUUGUUUAAUGUGACUUAGAUUUUGGCUGGCUGUUUGAACCUAGCUUCUUAUCAUUCCCAUAUAAAAAUCAUUUUUUUAUAUAGAGGUUGAUAUGACGCUGGGCUCUCUGAAGUUCGAAAGGAUUUCGGAUCAGUUCAGUAGAACCUUGACAACUGCAUAGGUAAGUCUGGAAAGAAUAAAGCAUCUCAUGGAGGCAUUAUUCUUUGAGUACAGAGCUAAUCUGUAUUAUCUGAAUAAUGUUUAAUUCUUGAGUAAGAGCCGAGACUCUAUAUGGCUCUUUAGUAAUGCCUUUUUGGCAGAAUAAAGUUUGAUUACUGAUUAAAUUAAUUUUUGAAUUCAGUAAUUAAAGAUGUAGCAACAUCUAGCGAUAUAGAGAUUAAAU